RNAcentral lists this ribosomal RNA (253 nucleotides) under uncultured bacterium. Its description in RNAcentral is "partial 16S ribosomal RNA". It matches the Rfam family "Bacterial small subunit ribosomal RNA", at positions 524 to 776 of the family's 1533-position model. The record is from RNAcentral.
UACGUAGGGUGCAAGCGUUACUCGGAAUUACUGGGCGUAAAGCGUGCGCAGGCGGUUAUGUAAGACAGAUGUGAAAUGCCCGGGCUCAACCUGGGAACUGCAUUUGUGACUGCAUGGCUAGAGUUUGGCAGAGGGGGGUAGAAUUCCACGUGUAGCAGUGAAAUGCGUAGAGAUGUGGAGGAAUACCGAUGGCGAAGGCAGCCCCCUGGGCCAAUACUGACGCUCAUGCACGAAAGCGUGGGGAGCAAACAGG